CCUAAAGGCGAAAUGAAAGUAAAGGUUGGGUCUAGCACCCGACUUAGGGAUGAUGAGUUAUUAAUUUAUCUCCGCAAUCCCAGGGCGUCUUAAUCUCUUCGAGAUGAGGCGCACCUAGAGCAUACAUGUUGGGACCCGAAAGAUGGUGAACUAUGCCUGGUCAGGACGAAGUCAGGGGAAACCCUGAUGGAGGUCCGUAGCGAUUCUGACGUGCAAAUCGAUCGUCGGAACUGGGUAUAGGGGCGAAAGACUAAUCGAACCAUCUAGUAGCUGGUUCCCUCCGAAGUUUCCCUCAGGAUAGCUGGCACUCAUAUCUGUUGAACGCAAAAAGUCUCAUCUGGUAAAGCGAAUGAUUAGAGGCCUUGGGGUCGAAACGACCUCAACCUAUUCUCAAACUUUAAAUGGGUGAGAUCUCUGGCUUUCUUGAAUGCAAACCCUUAUGAAGCCAGAGAUUGGAUUAGAGUGCCAAGUGG
RNAcentral lists this ribosomal RNA (473 nucleotides) under Earinus limitaris. Its description in RNAcentral is "eukaryotic LSU rRNA". It matches the Rfam family "Eukaryotic large subunit ribosomal RNA", at positions 707 to 1129 of the family's 3401-position model. Lineage: Eukaryota; Metazoa; Arthropoda; Insecta; Hymenoptera; Braconidae. The record is from RNAcentral.